UGGGAUAAAAGACCAUAUGACAACUACCUCCAUCUGAACAUAGAGAAAACAAAAGAACUUGUCUUUAACGCACCAAACACUGGACUGCGUCCCAUCUCCAUCAGCUCAACAAAUUCAAAUGCCUUGGACUCACUUUAGACAACGUCAGUUUUGAUCAACAGGUCACAGAUAUUCAUAAAAAAUCUUAGCGAAGAUUACAUCAUGUCAUCUGUAAACUCUGAUUACUUUCUG
Long non-coding RNA from Sander lucioperca (pikeperch), 231 nucleotides. RefSeq lists it as uncharacterized. The record is from RefSeq and is a predicted model, not a curated record. NCBI's taxonomy places the organism in Eukaryota, Metazoa, Chordata, Actinopteri, Perciformes, Percidae. The transcript has 3 exons.